AUUGAACGCUGGCGGCAUGCCUUACACAUGCAAGUCGAACGGUAACGGGCCUUCGGGUGCCGACGAGUGGCGAACGGGUGAGUAAUACAUCGGAACGUGCCCGAUCGUGGGGGAUAACGAGGCGAAAGCUUUGCUAAUACCGCAUACGAUCUACGGAUGAAAGCAGGGGACCGCAAGGCCUUGCGCGGACGGAGCGGCCGAUGGCAGAUUAGGUAGUUGGUGGGAUAAAAGCUUACCAAGCCGACGAUCUGUAGCUGGUCUGAGAGGAUGAUCAGCCACACUGGGACUGAGACACGGCCCAGACUCCUACGGGAGGCAGCAGUGGGGAAUUUUGGACAAUGGGCGCAAGCCUGAUCCAGCCAUGCCGCGUGCAGGAUGAAGGCCUUCGGGUUGUAAACUGCUUUUGUACGGAACGAAAAGCCUUCCUUUAAUACAGGAGGGUCAUGACGGUACCGGAAGAAUAAGCACCGGCUAACUACGUG
Molecule: ribosomal RNA, 482 nt
Filed under: uncultured bacterium
Lineage: Bacteria
Description: partial 16S ribosomal RNA
Rfam family: Bacterial small subunit ribosomal RNA
Source: RNAcentral